GGGCCCGCACAAGCGGUGGAGUAUGUGGUUUAAUUCGAUGCAACGCGAAAAACCUUACCUACUCUUGACAUACUUGGAAGCUCUUGUAAUGAGAGUGUGCCUUUUGGAACCAAGAUACAGGUGCUGCAUGGCUGUCGUCAGCUCGUGUCGUGAGAUGUUCCGUUAAGUCGGAUAACGAGCGCAACCCUUACCCUUAUUUGCCAGCGAUUCGGUCGGGAACUAUAAGGGGACUGCCGGUGAUAAACCGGAGGAAGGUGAGGACGACGUCAAGUCAUCAUGGCCCUUAUGACCAGGGCUACACACGUGCUACAAUGGCCGGUACAGAGAGCAGCCACUUCGCAAGAAGGAGCG
This 351-nucleotide ribosomal RNA is filed under the name uncultured bacterium. Its description in RNAcentral is "bacterial SSU rRNA". It matches the Rfam family "Bacterial small subunit ribosomal RNA", at positions 917 to 1269 of the family's 1533-position model. The record is from RNAcentral.